Molecule: ribosomal RNA, 547 nt
Filed under: uncultured bacterium
Lineage: Bacteria
Description: bacterial SSU rRNA
Rfam family: Bacterial small subunit ribosomal RNA
Source: RNAcentral
GGAAUAUUGCGCAAUGGACGAAAGUCUGACGCAGCGACGCCUCGUGAGGGACGAAGGUCUUCGGAUUGUAAACCUCUUUCAGCAGGGACGAAGCGAAAGUGACGGUACCUGCAGAAGAAGCACCGGCUAACUAUGUGCCAGCAGCCGCGGUAAUACAUAGGGUGCAAGCGUUGUCCGGAUUUAUUGGGCGUAAAGAGUUCGUAGGCGGUUUCUCGCGUCGGAUGUGAAAACUCAGGGCUCAACCCUGAGCCUGCAUUCGAUACGGGGAAACUUGAGGACGGCAGGGGAGACUGGAACUCCUGGUGUAGCGGUGGAAUGCGCAGAUAUCAGGAAGGACACCAAUGGCGAAGGCAGGUCUCUGGGCCGAUUCUGACGCUGAGGAACGAAAGCGUGGGGAGCAAACAGGAUUAGAUACCCUGGUAGUCCACGCCGUAAACGAUGGACGCUAGGUGUGGGAACAUUCCACGUUCUCUGCGCCGCAGCUAACGCAUUAAGCGUCCCGCCUGGGGAGUACGACCGCAAGGUUAAAACUCAAAGGAAUUGACGG